GACCGAUAAAGGCAAACUCCGAGAAAUCGGAGGACGCAAAGCCCCGCCGAAAGGCGGACCCCGCAUGGUCGCGGGGACGGGACUUCACUCUCGAAAGAGGGAAAGUCGGCCGGGUUGCCGAA
This 122-nucleotide non-coding RNA is filed under the name Elusimicrobiota bacterium. RNAcentral's name for it is "Elusimicrobia bacterium c-di-GMP sequence". It matches the Rfam family "c-di-GMP-I riboswitch aptamer". From Rfam's summary of the family: GEMM was predicted in a large-scale screen for bacterial structured RNA regulatory elements. Genes associated with GEMM are involved in a diverse array of functions, including chemotaxis regulation, signal transduction, secretion and chitin. The record is from RNAcentral. Lineage: Bacteria; Pseudomonadati; Elusimicrobiota.